Non-coding RNA from Coturnix japonica (Japanese quail), 639 nucleotides. Lineage: Eukaryota; Metazoa; Chordata; Aves; Galliformes; Phasianidae. The record is from RefSeq and is a predicted model, not a curated record.
AUAGAGAGAUAAAAUUGAGUAAAACAGCUCUGUCUUUUUCAGGCAUUAUGAUGCUAAUAAUGCAACAGCUACCCUGGGACAGUUGAUGUGCUCCUUUCACUUGAAUGGAAACCCUUCAAGACCUUUCGAAUGGUCAACACUCAGCUGAGUGAGGGAAGCUGCAGCAGAAAACAGCACACAGCUCCUGGUACAGCCUGAUGCUGGUUCCCAUUGCAGGAACGGCUUGGAUGGACCAGGGGCACACAGAGCUCUGAGAGGGAUGGACACAUGGCACCAGGAUCAACACAAUGCCCCAAGAUGGACACACAAACCCAGGAUGGACACACAGAUCCAGGAUGGACACACAGCUCCAGGAUGGACACACAGCUCCAGGAUGGACACACAGCUCCAGGACAGGGAUGAUCCUGAUGGGAAAAAUCCUUCCUCCUUGUUGAGGCUCUGCUUCCAGCCCCAGGACAAGGGCACUUUUCCCCUCUCCAUCGCCUCCCCCCACACUCCCCACUCUCGUGCUGCUUUGGGGAAUCAGGGAGGGCUGCCUGAGCCACAGGGAUUUGCAGGGUUUCCUCGGAAAUCCUCGAGUACACAUAAGUCUCUAGUGGCUGAGAUUAAGAGUAAAUACAAUUGCUGCUGUCUUCUUUA